AGACCCGAAACCCGGUGAUCUAGCCAUGGGCAGGUUGAAGGUUGGGUAACACUAACUGGAGGACCGAACCGACUAAUGUUGAAAAAUUAGCGGAUGACCUGUGGCUGGGGGUGAAAGGCCAAUCAAACCGGGAGAUAGCUGGUUCUCCCCGAAAGCUAUUUAGGUAGCGCCUCGUGAAUUCAUCUCCGGGGGUAGAGCACUGUUUCGGCUAGGGGGCCAUCCCGGCUUACCAACCCGAUGCAAACUGCGAAUACCGGAGAAUGUUAUCACGGGAGACACACGGCGGGUGCUAACGUCCGUCGUGAAGAGGGAAACAACCCAGACCGCCAGCUAAGGUCCCAAAGUCAUGGUUAAGUGGGAAACGAUGUGGGAAGGCCCAGACAGCCAGGAUGUUGGCUUAGAAGCAGCCAUCAUUUAAAGAAAGCGUAAUAGCUCACUGGUCGAGUCGGCCUGCGCGGAAGAUGUAACGGGGCUAAACCAUGCACCGAAGCUGCGGCAGCGAACGUAUCACUUAAAGCGAUUCAGCGGGUUACGAUUGACGGAGCGAAGCGACGUCAAAGCGUAUACAAAGUCGAGUCGGUUUAAGGAUACGUUCGUUGGGUAGGGGAGCGUUCUGUAAGCCUGCGAAGGUGGCCUGUGAGGGUUGCUGGAGGUAUCAGAAGUGCGAAUGCUGACAUAAGUAACGAUAAAGCGGGUGAAAAGCCCGCUCG
This 710-nucleotide ribosomal RNA is filed under the name Salmonella enterica subsp. enterica serovar Infantis. Its description in RNAcentral is "partial 23S ribosomal RNA". It matches the Rfam family "Bacterial large subunit ribosomal RNA", at positions 711 to 1336 of the family's 2925-position model. Lineage: Bacteria; Pseudomonadati; Pseudomonadota; Gammaproteobacteria; Enterobacterales; Enterobacteriaceae. RNAcentral also lists the same sequence under 1 other name. The record is from RNAcentral.